UACGAAGGGGGCUAGCGUUGUUCGGAUUUACUGGGCGUAAAGCGCACGUAGGCGGAUCGUUAAGUCGGGGGUGAAAUCCUGGAGCUCAACUCCAGAACUGCCUUCGAUACUGGCGAUCUUGAGUCCGGAAGAGGUGAGUGGAACUCCUAGUGUAGAGGUGGAAUUCGUAGAUAUUAGGAAGAACACCAGUGGCGAAGGCGGCUCACUGGUCCGGUACUGACGCUGAGGUGCGAAAGCGUGGGAAGCAAACAGG
RNAcentral lists this ribosomal RNA (253 nucleotides) under uncultured bacterium. Its description in RNAcentral is "partial 16S ribosomal RNA". It matches the Rfam family "Bacterial small subunit ribosomal RNA", at positions 524 to 776 of the family's 1533-position model. The record is from RNAcentral.